This 163-nucleotide small nuclear RNA is filed under the name Echinops telfairi (small Madagascar hedgehog). RNAcentral's name for it is "U1 spliceosomal RNA (ENSETEG00000021529.1)". It matches the Rfam family "U1 spliceosomal RNA". Rfam says of the family: U1 is a small nuclear RNA (snRNA) component of the spliceosome (involved in pre-mRNA splicing). Its 5' end forms complementary base pairs with the 5' splice junction, thus defining the 5' donor site of an intron. There are significant differences in sequence and secondary structure between metazoan and yeast U1 snRNAs, the latter being much longer (568 nucleotides as compared to 164 nucleotides in human). Lineage: Eukaryota; Metazoa; Chordata; Mammalia; Afrosoricida; Tenrecidae. The record is from RNAcentral.
AUACUUACCUGGCAGGGGGGAUACCAUGAUCACGAAGGUGGUUUUCCCAGGAAGAGGCUUAUCCAUUGCACUCUGGAUGUGCUGACCCCUGCAUUUCCCCAAAUGUGGGAAACUCAACUGCAUGAUUUGUGGUAGUGGAGGACUGCAUUCACACUUUCCCCUG